This 783-nucleotide long non-coding RNA is filed under the name Nicotiana benthamiana. Its description in RNAcentral is "long non-coding RNA (NBEN_LNC031305)". The record is from RNAcentral. Lineage: Eukaryota; Viridiplantae; Streptophyta; Magnoliopsida; Solanales; Solanaceae.
GAUUAUAUUCGUGUCUGUGUGUGUCAAGUGAGAAGAGAAGAGUAGUACUUAUAGUUUUUGAAAAUAGAUGAGAAUAUGGUAGGGAGUAUAUAAUUAUAGAAACAAUACCAAAUUGAAUCAAUCAUAGGUCCUAAUUCAAAUAAAUCAGGGACUCAUGAUUCGAAUAGGAGUACCGGCUAUCAAAUAAGGAAAACAAAUCACUUGAAUGACUGAAUAUACCAUAACAAAAGCAGUAGGCAUGCCAUACAUAAUAAAGGCUAGGUAGACAAUAUUUCAAACAAGGAAAAUAUAUGCUGAAUAACCAAAAUAUACUUGAGUGCACAAAUAUGGCAAGCAAUAUAAAUCAACUAUGAACAGUUAGUCAAAGAAUCACGGGCAAGACCAAAAUUAGAGGAAAUUAGUCCCAAACAUAGCAAGCAACUCACAAUUAAGGAAAUAAUUUGAAAUCAGUGUAAGAAUACAUACGAAUCAGGGAUUCAAAAAGAUACUCGAAACUAAUAGGAUACUCAAUAAAGAGAGAGGCGUUCGAACUUAAAAGGUCACAGAAAUUAAAAACCCUAAGCAAGGAAUCGUACAAACAGUAGAGGGUCUGAGCCCUAGAAGUGACAACAAGGUUUCAAGCACAUAACAGAGGAAUAAACACAUAAUACCCAAAAGAAAACAGAAGCAUAGCGAUUUUAAAAUGGGGUCAAAAACCCUAGUUUUGAAAAAGAGGAAAGUGUUGGAAAACUUGACUUAAACGAGGAUAUCAAGUGACAAGUAGUGUAGAAAACAAAGAUUAAA